GAUGAAGAACGUAGCGAAAUGCGAUAAGUAAUGCGAAUUGCAGAAUUCAGUGAGUCAUCGAAUCUUUGAACGCACAUUGCGCCCCUUGGUAUUCCAUGGGGCAUGCCUGUUCGAGCGUCAUUUGUACCUUCAAGCUCUGCUUGGUGUUGGGUGUUUGUCUCGCCUCUGCGUGUAGACUCGCCUCAAAAUAAUUGGCAGCCGGCGUAUUGAUUUCGGAGCGCAGUACAUCUCGCGCUUUGCACUCAUAACGACGACGUCCAAAAGUACAUUUUUACACUCUUGACCUCGGAUCAGGUAGGGAUACCCGCUGAACUUAAGCAUAUCAAUAAGCGGAGGA
Molecule: unclassified non-coding RNA, 337 nt
Filed under: soil metagenome
Description: partial contains 5.8S ribosomal RNA, internal transcribed spacer 2, and large subunit ribosomal RNA
Rfam family: 5.8S ribosomal RNA (bases 1-120)
Source: RNAcentral